UGAAAUCAAUUUCAUGGGCUGCAGC
RNAcentral lists this non-coding RNA (25 nucleotides) under Mus musculus (house mouse). The record is from RNAcentral. Lineage: Eukaryota; Metazoa; Chordata; Mammalia; Rodentia; Muridae.